Molecule: long non-coding RNA, 4634 nt
Organism: Vigna angularis (adzuki bean)
Lineage: Eukaryota; Viridiplantae; Streptophyta; Magnoliopsida; Fabales; Fabaceae
Exons: 3
Source: RefSeq, a predicted model, not a curated record
CCCUGGUCAAAGGGGCUGGAUUGGUCAAAAUAAGAGCUGGAAUCUAGUGCAACGUACCGUUUUGGGAUUGCAAAGCUGCUAGAAGCUAAGGUUCAGAGAAAGGCUCGAGCAAAGGGGAUUUUUCCCCAAAUCGAAAACCCUUCGAGCUAGGGUUCAUAGAGGAGUGCGAAGAGGGUUCGCGAAUAUGCUAGGAGAGCUCGCGAUGGACUGGACCAGAGGUUGUUUCAAAAGCUUGGAGUUGAUCAAAAGGUGCGAGAAGAACUGAGGGUCCGUGAUUAAAAGAGGUGUGGCUCGAGAAGGGUGUGCGCGAAGUGCUUAUUGGGUUCGAUCUUCCCUUUUUUCCCUCUUCUCUUUAGUUUUUCUAUAAAACGACAGUGAUAAAGAGUUUUUCUCUCGGUUAGUUUUAGUUUUUGUCUUGGUUCUUCUCGGUUAGUUUUUCAAACACUCUCGGUUCUUUUCAGUUUGAGGGUGAUUAGUUGAUUAGUCUUAGUUAGUUUUAGUUUUAGUUAGUGUUAGUCUAGUUCUUGGAGUGAUUUUCGUUUUCUUCUUCGUUGGAGAUUGUUGAAGGCUACUCACAAGCAGUGACAAGUCGUGAGCCCUCCUUUGGUGAUUUCGGUACCUUUUUCCAUCUUUCUCUUAUGGGUUUCUAGAUUCUUUCUACAUUCACAAAUUCCAUGUUAGGAAGUGGAAAGUUUAUGAAAGGAGGAAAAAGAAGAGUACCGAAGGUAAGGGACCGAACGAUAAGGGAUGAAGGUGUGAAGGAUUGAACAAUAUCUACACUAAUACCGAAAGGUGGGAGGAAGGAGUGAAGGACCGAACGGUAUCUACACUAAUACCGAACGAUGGGAGGAAGGUGUGAAGGACUGAACGGUAUUACCGAACGGUAGGAGGAAUAAAAAGAGCGGGAAAGUUUGUUAGGGGGAGAGAGAAAGUAUAAAUAAACAUUCUUGAUUUUUGUUGAGGCAGCUAGCCAUUUCUUACGUUUUGUCUUGAACCUUGUUGAGGGGGAUUAGGCUCUCGAGUUGAUAUUGUUUUCGUUUUACAGUUACAGUGAAUACAUACAAUUACAGAGAUUAGACACCUUUCCUUUAUUUUCUCUUGUUUAUUGGCGUUGGCGUGAGUGGGUGUUGCGAGAAUAUUUAGGUCUCUUACUCAGAAACCUAACAUUCCAACUGUGCAUCUGCAUUCCUUAUUGGUCCUUAAGCACAUUACAUUCACUUGUGCAUGGUAUCACGUUUUGGUAGGCAUAUUUCACAUUGCGGCAUUAUUUAGAGUUGUUAGGACAAAUUUCCGUUGCAUCCUUUAGCAUUGCUAGGUUCAUUGUCCCUUGCAUUUUCCAUUUUUCAUUUGUAGUCAUUAGGUUAGAAUAACACCUUGCAUUUAGCAUCUUUCCAGGUUCUGAAUAUUUUUUUCUGGUUUUCUGCUUGAUUCCUCUUAUUAUCAUGUCUAUCAUAUUCUAAAAACCCAAUUCGUUUUGAUUCUGCACCUUUCUUCACUAAAGAUUUUGCAUCAUACCUUGCAUACUGUUCCAUUUCUGUAUUGUGUCCAUUCCUUAAGUGCAUCAACAUUUUAAUUCCAUUUCUAUGCAUACUCAUUAACAUCUAAAUAGUCAGUUAGGUUCUGGAACUGCUUUCUGUACAUUAACCAUUGAUAGGCAUCAAUUCCAGUAGUCUCUAGGAUUAAUUGCUUUACAUUGCAUGCUUCCUUUUGCAUUUGUAUCUGUUAUUUCAAUUUCUUGCUUUACAUAUCACUCUUUGUUGUUUUUUUCUUUUCAUGCAUUUAGUUGAUUACCCAAUUGGGGUUUCUUGAUAUUACUUGUUCUUUGCAUUGACUAAAUAGGGUUCUGAUAUUAGGUUCUGCUGUUGAUUCGCAUAAGUAAUGAUGUUCAUCAAUCUAGGUUCUUGUAUUUGCUUUAAUGCAUCAUUCUAGGUUAGGUGUCAUGUAUUACUUACAAUUGAACAUUCAAGAAACCAUGAGUACAUUCCAAUUCCAAAUCUCUUUCUGAUUAAGGAAAUUCAUUCAUUCAUUCAUUAAUGCAUCUCCAAAGCAUUUCCCACAUAUGAAUCUGUUCUAGACAUUUCUCUUCCUUUCUUUACAUCAUUAUACAUCAUUCAUGCAUCAUCUAGCUUUAGUUAGAUAGACAUGCAUUUGUAAUUAGCUUUCGUUUCUUUUAAAACUUCAGUUUUCUUUUCUUGCCCACAUUAACCUUGUUUUCAAUUUUAAUUCCAUAGGAUCAACUAUACAUUUCUAAUACUUAACAUGCACUGAGUCAUAGGAUUAAACCUUGGUUACCACUAGCCUACAUUAGUGGGGAACUAAGUAUUGUUCACUUUUAGUGCGACCUAAAAGCUCAUUUCAUUUCAACAGUAACCCUAAAGGUGUCUCACAAAAUGGAGAAGUAGAGACCUAAUUCUACAAACUUAGAUACCAAGGAAAAAAUCUUCUCCAUUACAAGGAGGACACGUGGCCACUAAUCCUUUCCAUUAAAAGCAUGCCACAUGGCAAGAGCAUGUGUCUCAUAAAAAGAGAGGAACUUGGAGACGACUCUAGCCGAGGGUCCACAAGCUUCUAGAAGGUUUGUGCUCCAAGUUAUGGCUUUUACCUUAGAUCCAAAACCCUCUAGGCCCAAAACCUUAAACUACAACCUUAGGCCGAAAAGAAAACCUAGACUAUGUAGCCCAUUAUACAAGGACCCAAAAGAAAACCUUAUAUUAUUGGGCCUAUAAUACAAGGCCCAAAAUAAAUGUAAUCUACUAAGUAUUCAUUAAUGGUCCAUGAUGAUAAGAGCUUGGGCUCACCUUCCAUAGGAGACUCCAAAUCUUCUUGUAAGCUCUUGGCCAUUGUUAGGGAGUUUGAUAUCACCACGACGACCAACAAAUUUAGUGAUGGGCGACCCAACAAUACAUUGUAUGAUGUGAUGGCGUCUAUGACCAAGUAUCGAAUUGGUAUGGUCUUAGUUAGGUUUUCUUCACCAAAAGACGUGUGAAGGUCGAUGUAACCUCUCAUAGACACCCUUUCUCUAGAGAAGCCAUAUAUAGGUUCAUCAUAAGGUGUCAUUGCUUCUUCUAGACGCUCCAACUUUUGAUAGGUCUUUCAGUAGAGUAUAUCUAAUGAAAUACCCUAUCGAUUAAGACCUUUUUUAUGGUAAAGUUCUCCGCCUCCAAGUUUAUGACAAUAGGGUUAUUCUAAUAUGGGUCUACUCCUUGGAAAUCUGCAUUUGUGAAUAUGAUAGGUGACGUCCUCUUGUGGCGAUAAUUAUUGUAACACCACAAUUUUCAGGGUGUCAUGGGUUAUUCAAAAAUCGGUAAAUUUCAAAACUUUAUCAUAGUGUGAAAAUGUAUUUUAAAAAACCUCAACAUUUAAAGCAGAUGUGGUCGAUCUAUGACUCGAUUGCCCGAUGUGACAUCCCAACUCGUUGCCAUGGAGAGGAUAUCCGUUGAGAUUGAUCCUCAAUCGGGUCUGCCUUUAGGGCCACAUGUAGAGAAGUUUAGGAGUUAUUUGGGGAUGUUGGCAAAAACUCAUGUCUCUAUUGUCAUUGCAUCUUGGGAUGAUGUCUCAGAGAUGGACAAGAACCUCCUAUGGCAGGACAUUUUGGUAUAUUUACUUAAAAAAAAUUAAUAUAUUGUUUAAUAUGAUUUUAUUAUCUCAUUAACAUGUUUUUUGUUUUGAACGGCAAAAUUUUGAUAUUCCAAACACUAGGCAAAUUAGAAAGAAAGUGUUAAUUCACGUAGCAAUUAGAUGGAGGGACUUCAAGACAAGCCUGACACGUCUAUAUGUGUUUGGAGACUGACAACAUGAAUAUAUGAAUAUCCUUGUGCGAAGUACAUAAUAACUGAGGAGGAAUGGAUGCAGUUUCGUGCAUCUAGAGAGUCUAGAGUGUGGCAUGUUUGUUUCUUAAAAUUUUGCUAUAGUCAGAUAAGGCAUUCAAUAAUGAUUUACACUUAUGAAUAUACAUGGUUUGACGGGUAAAAGGUUAGCAAUCCAAGAAAGACAAAGACUUAAUGAUGCAUUACACGUACUAUCACGAGGUGGUUAUGCAUUAUUUGAGAGAAAGAUGAGAAAGAGUCAAGUAGAGACUUUAGGACUUGAGUCUCCUGACCUAGCACCUACACCUGCUAGGAACGAGAUUGGAAGACUUCAUGGACUAAAUCUAAUGAGAAUAUGACAUCACAAUCAAUUGUCUUGAGAUCACAUAAUUGAUGUGUUGGUCGAGCAACAAACUCAAGGUUCCUUUGCUAGCUAAGGUAGGGACGACAUUCUCACAAGACCAUUGAAAAGCUAGAGCACCUAGGACGUGUACGUGGCGUUGGGGGUGUGAUUGGUCUUCGGGACUACUUUGAUCCUACACAAAGAAGCAGUGAAUCCAUGACUUAGGAGGCAUUGAGGAAGGUGGAGCUCCAAGUGGAGGAAAGACUCAAUCCACGCAUGAGUGUUAUAAAGUAAUACUUCAUGGAGCAGCUAUAAGAAUAAAAAUAAAUCCAAAGAAUGCUGGAAGAAAAGCUGUCGUCCAUGACCCAGGCAAUGGGGUUGAAUUAACAUGGUUUAUCUAAAUAAGAGUUUGAAUUUACAAUGUGUUUUGUGUUCCAGGAGCUUAUACAUUAUUAGAUAACUAUGUGAUAAUAAUUAUAUUAUUA